UACGAACUGUGCAAACGUUAUUCGGAAUCACUGGGCUUACAGGGUGCGUAGGCGGCUUGUUAAGCAGGGUGUGAAAUCCCUCGGCUCAACCGAGGAAUUGCGCCUUGAACUGGCGAGCUGGAGUGGGACAGAGGUGCGCGGAACUUCCAGUGGAGCGGUGAAAUGUGUUGAUAUUGGAAGGAACGCCGGAGGCGAAAGCGGCGCACUGGGUCUUAACUGACGCUGAGGCACGAAAGCCAGGGGAGCAAACGGG
RNAcentral lists this ribosomal RNA (253 nucleotides) under uncultured bacterium. RNAcentral's name for it is "partial 16S ribosomal RNA". It matches the Rfam family "Bacterial small subunit ribosomal RNA", at positions 524 to 776 of the family's 1533-position model. The record is from RNAcentral.